RNAcentral lists this ribosomal RNA (166 nucleotides) under Salegentibacter salinarum. Its description in RNAcentral is "16S rRNA. Bacterial SSU". It matches the Rfam family "Bacterial small subunit ribosomal RNA", at positions 19 to 177 of the family's 1533-position model. The record is from RNAcentral. Lineage: Bacteria; Pseudomonadati; Bacteroidota; Flavobacteriia; Flavobacteriales; Flavobacteriaceae.
CUGGCUCAGGAUGAACGCUAGCGGCAGGCCUAACACAUGCAAGUCGAGGGGUAACAGGGGAGUGCUUGCACUCUUGCUGACGACCGGCGCACGGGUGCGUAACGCGUAUACAACCUACCUUUUGGCGGGGAAUAGCCCAGGGAAACUUGGAUUAAUGCCCCAUAGU